GUGACUGCGUACCUUUUGUAUAAUGGGUCAGCGACUUAUAUUCUGUAGCAAGGUUAACCGAAUAGGGGAGCCGGAGGGAAACCGAGUCUUAAUUGGGCGUUAAGUUGCAGGGUAUAGACCCGAAACCCGGUGAUCUAGCCAUGGGCAGGUUGAAGGUUGGGUAACACUAACUGGAGGACCGAACCGACUAAUGUUGAAAAAUUAGCGGAUGACCUGUGGCUGGGGGUGAAAGGCCAAUCAAACCGGGAGAUAGCUGGUUCUCCCCGAAAGCUAUUUAGGUAGCGCCUCGUGAAUUCAUCUCCGGGGGUAGAGCACUGUUUCGGCUAGGGGGCCAUCCCGGCUUACCAACCCGAUGCAAACUGCGAAUACCGGAGAAUGUUAUCACGGGAGACACACGGCGGGUGCUAACGUCCGUCGUGAAGAGGGAAACAACCCAGACCGCCAGCUAAGGUCCCAAAGUCAUGGUUAAGUGGGAAACGAUGUGGGAAGGCCCAGACAGCCAGGAUGUUGGCUUAGAAGCAGCCAUCAUUUAAAGAAAGCGUAAUAGCUCACUGGUCGAGUCGGCCUGCGCGGAAGAUGUAACGGGGCUAAACCAUGCACCGAAGCUGCGGCAGCGACACUCAGGUGUUGUUGGGUAGGGGAGCGUUCUGUAAGCCUGUGAAGGUGGCCUGUGAGGGUUGCUGGAGGUAUCAGAAGUGCGAAUGCUGACAUAAGUAACGAUAAAGCGGGUGAAAAGCCCGCUCGCCGGAAGACCAAGGGUUCCUGUCCAACGUUAAUCGGGGCAGGGUGAGUCGACCCCUAAGGCGAGGCCGAAAGGCGUAGUCGAUGGGAAACGGGUUAAUAUUCCCGUACUUGGUGUUACUGCGAAGGGGGGACGGAGAAGGCUAUGUUGGCCGGGCGACGGUUGUCCCGGUUUAAGCGUGUAGGUGUGUGUUCCAGGUAAAUCCGGUUCACUUUAACACUGAGGCGUGAUGACGAGGCACUACGGUGCUGAAGCAACAAAUGCCCUGCUUCCAGGAAAAGCCUCUAAGCAUCAGGUAACAUCAAAUCGUACCCCAAACCGACACAGG
RNAcentral lists this ribosomal RNA (1070 nucleotides) under Salmonella enterica subsp. enterica serovar Anatum. Its description in RNAcentral is "partial 23S ribosomal RNA". It matches the Rfam family "Bacterial large subunit ribosomal RNA", at positions 593 to 1663 of the family's 2925-position model. Lineage: Bacteria; Pseudomonadati; Pseudomonadota; Gammaproteobacteria; Enterobacterales; Enterobacteriaceae. The record is from RNAcentral.